AUGCCUAUCGUGCUCUCUUACUUGUGCUUUCUGGAAGCAUGGCAACACAGCUCAGUUGGUGAUCUAGCUAGCUAUUUCAAUCUCGCGGUCUUGCAAGUAGUUCUGCGAAAGUUUGGCCCCGGGCGAUCGAUCGAGAUGACUGGAGUGGCUGAAGUAAUUGGUUUGAUCAGCGCGCUCCUCGCCAUCGCACGUGAGAUCAGUUCGCUGGCGGAGAGGGCUCAGCGCAACAGGGAGCAAUGCAAGCUUCUCAGAGAUCACGUGGGAUCGAUCAUGCUCCUGCUCAGGGAGCUGCAGAACCAGAUGAAGCCGGAGCCGUGGAUGAAGGACUUGCUGGAAAAUCUAAACGAUGCACUCAGAGACGGGAGAUCCCUUGUCGAAUCCUGCCAAGAUAAGAGAACCUGGUCACGCGUCUUCAAAACCGAGAAGAAGGCCAAGAAGUUCGAUGCCCUUGACCACCGGAUCUCCAGGAUCCUGCAGCAGUUCCACCUUGUCAACAUGAUCCUCAUUGUCAGGGUGAACAAUGAGCGCUUCUUCCAGAAUGUGCUCCGGAAGCUACUUGAAGAUGGUGCUUGCAAGCGCUUGCCGCAGGACGUAAAGGAGGAGCUCGAGUCAUCUAUCAAGAAGCUGACUAACACAGACAAUAUGUCACCCGACGCACAAGAUUUGCUGGAAUGGAUAAAAAGGGACAUCACAUACACAUACAGGGAUGCUGCGACCAGCGGAUCGUCAGGAGCACAGGCAUCAUCAACUGGCGACUAUCUCAUGUUGGACAUCUUGGACCUCACGGAACAAAUCAGGGAGGAGGCGGCGAUGGGCAACAACGGGGACGAAAUCCGGCGACUUGUGCAUCUCGUGCAGCAGGUAACCAAAAUUAUUCAGCAUCUCCAGACUUCCGAGCUGUCGCUGGACCCCAGUACGAGGCGGACGCUUGAGGAGCUAAAAGCAGAUCUCGUGGUGAUCUCUGAUAACAUCAUCUGGUACAACCGCAAGGAGCACAACAAAGUAAAGAGGGGCAUGCUCUGCGGCCCGAACAACGCCUACGAGGCACACAAGGAUGCCUACAAGAUCGAGUACUACAUCCAAGUCCUCGUAAUAGCCUUGCGUCAGCUAUAUGAACGUAAUUAA
This 1125-nucleotide ribosomal RNA is filed under the name Triticum aestivum (bread wheat). RNAcentral's name for it is "partial small subunit ribosomal RNA". The record is from RNAcentral. Lineage: Eukaryota; Viridiplantae; Streptophyta; Magnoliopsida; Poales; Poaceae.